This 253-nucleotide ribosomal RNA is filed under the name uncultured bacterium. RNAcentral describes it as "partial 16S ribosomal RNA". It matches the Rfam family "Bacterial small subunit ribosomal RNA", at positions 524 to 776 of the family's 1533-position model. The record is from RNAcentral.
UACGUAGGGGGCAAGCGUUGUCCGGAAUCAUUGGGCGUAAAGAGCGCGUAGGCGGCCCAGUCAGUCCGCUCUGAAAGUCAGGGGCUCAACCCCUGAAUGCGGGUGGAUACUGCUGGGCUAGAGUCCGGAAGAGGAGAGUGGAAUUCCUGGUGUAGCGGUGAAAUGCGCAGAUAUCAGGAAGAACACCCGUGGCGAAGGCGGCUCUCUGGGACGGUACUGACGCUGAGACGCGAAAGCGUGGGGAGCAAACAGG